This 497-nucleotide ribosomal RNA is filed under the name uncultured bacterium. Its description in RNAcentral is "partial 16S ribosomal RNA". It matches the Rfam family "Bacterial small subunit ribosomal RNA", at positions 28 to 507 of the family's 1533-position model. The record is from RNAcentral.
GAUGAACGCUGGCGGCGUGCCUAAUACAUGCCAGUCGAGCGAACGGACGAGAAGCUUGCUUCUCUGAUGUUAGCGGCGGACGGGUGAGUAACACGUGGAUAACCUACCUAUAAGACUGGGAUAACUUCGGGAAACCGGAGCUAAUACCGGAUAAUAUUUUGAACCGCAUGGUUCAAAAGUGAAAGACGGUCUUGCUGUCACUUAUAGAAGGAUCCGCGCUGCAUUAGCUAGUUGGUAAGGUAACGGCUUACCAAGGCAACGAUGCAUAGCCGACCUGAGAGGAUGAUCGGCCACACUGGAACUGAGACACGGUCCAGACUCCUACGGGAGGCAGCAGUAGGGAAUCUUCCGCAAUGGGCGAAAGCCUGACGGAGCAACGCCGCGUGAGUGAUGAAGGUCUUCGGAUCGUAAAACUCUGUUAUUAGGGAAGAACAUAUGUGUAAGUAACUGUGCACAUCUUGACGGUACCUAAUCAGAAAGCCACGGCUAACUACGUG